RNAcentral lists this ribosomal RNA (856 nucleotides) under uncultured bacterium. RNAcentral's name for it is "bacterial SSU rRNA". It matches the Rfam family "Bacterial small subunit ribosomal RNA", at positions 28 to 896 of the family's 1533-position model. The record is from RNAcentral.
AAUGAACGUUGGCGGCGUGGAUUAGGCAUGCAAGUCGAACGGGCCUGGUUUUCGGAUCAGGUCAGUGGCGCAAGGGUGAGUAAGGCGACGGUAACCAACCCCAUGGUUGGGUAUAGCCGCGGGAAACUGCGGGUAAUCCCUAGCGAUGUAAGAUGCCGGCAUCGGUGUUUUAUCAAAGCUUUGGCGCCGUGGGACGGGCCGUCGUGGUAUUAGGUAGUUGGCGGGGUAACGGCCCACCAAGCCGAUGAUGCCUACCGGGCGUGCGAGCGUGGCCCGGCACACUGGGACUGAGACACUGCCCAGACUCCUACGGGAGGCUGCAGUCGAGAAUCUUCGGCAAUGGGCGCAAGCCUGACCGAGCGACGCCGCGUGGAGGAUGAAGGCCUUCGGGUUGUAAACUCCUGUCGAGGGGGAGGAAGGGGAAACCUUGACCGAUCCCUGGAGGAAGCACGGGCUAAGUUCGUGCCAGCAGCCGCGGUAAGACGAACCGUGCGAACGUUAUUCGGAAUCACUGGGCUUAAAGCGCGUGUAGGCGGAUGGGAACGUCGGCAACUGAAAGCCCCCGGCUCAACCGGGGAAGUGGUUCCGAAACGACCUGUCUGGAGGGACGUAGGGGGAUCUGGAACUUCCGGUGGAGCGGUGAAAUGCGUUGAGAUCGGAAGGAACGCCCGUGGCGAAAGCGAGGUCCUGGACGUCUGCUGACGCUGAGACGCGAAAGCUAGGGGAGCAAACGGGAUUAGAUACCCCGGUAGUCCUAGCCGUAAACGAUGGGCACUGGGUAGGGGGCUCGCCGAUGGGCUCUCUGCCGUAGCGAAAGCGUGAAGUGCCCCGCCUGGGGAGUAUGGUCGCAAGGCUG